GAUAUGCGAUAAUAAAAUCUACAGCUGGAAAUCAGGUAUUAAAAUUUCAUUCGAUCCGUAUCACACGGCGGAUACGGAUUUCGUAUCGAAUGAAGGCUCAAACCACUCGAAUAUAUCGUGGUCAUUAAAGUUUAACGCGUUGAAUCUUCGUAGCUUUCCCAACUUGGAAAUUUAAUAAACGAAUAAGGCAACUGCCGAUAUCUCUUAACCGCUGUUUUCACUGAUGGUGAGAUUUUUCUUUCAUGAUAGUGUUUAGAAACGUAUCUAUCAAUCAUUCUACCGACUGCCGGUUUCCUAUUAAAUUUGCUAUUGAGAGAUCCAUAAUUAUUAAAUGGAAUCUUAAAUUCUAAAAUUUGCAAAAAUAGCAAGGAUAAAUUUCUGCAAUUUAAAUCGCAGCAUCCUGUAAUGCAUAGAGUAAACUGGACGUAAACAUCUCAGGUAUACAUCACGAACGUUUCGAUUACCCUAUAAGGUAUCGCCAAGGUGUGCCGCAGCGAUUUUCCUCUUGGAAAGAUGGUUUUCUUGACUGACCAUGGAGACAAUGUUAACUCAUUCAACACCGAGAUCUAAUUAGAAGACAGAAUCUCCAAUAUUCUGUUAUUAUUUUCGUCACAAAGGAGACAAAGUAUUCAGAAAGUAAAUUCUUCGACGAAAUCAUUCGACCAUAUGAAAGGAUGCUCAACGAAACGAAACUGGAAACGAUUUUCUGAAUCGAUCUUCAAAAUCAGUUUAACUUAAAGAACUAGCUAUCAGAGAAAAAUUAUUUCAAACGUUCAGAAGUUUUUAAUAGACCGAACUUGAACUGAACUUUUUCCUCGUUAAAUUGAUUUUCUAAAGGGUAUGUCGCACCCCACGUCGCCGAGUUAACUUUUGUAAGAUUUAAAUUAAAUUUCAAUGGAAGCUAUAGUAGCUUCUACGCUUUACAAUAUUUUCUUCAAGGUAACCCAGAGUUAAACGACACACCUUGAAUUAGGUACUUAGUUUCCGCAACAUUAAUCGGCGGAAACAAUUGAGACAAAGAUCCUUUCAGAUCCCUUGAUAACCUACUAUACAACAUUAUACAGUGUGUUCCAUAAAAACCGUUCAGGACUUAUAAAAAUACAUAGAGCUGAGAAAUAUUAUCAUCUAGGAUUAUUUCAACAAUAAAUUACUCUAUUUCUAUGAAGUUUUUUUUUCAUAUCAAAAAAAUAUCUCGUUGUCAGAUUAAUUUAUAUUCACGAAUUUUAUAAAACACGUGCCCUGUGAACAUCGCUUUCGUUCGCUAAUUUCUCUUUCGCUCGAAGAAAAGCGUACGCGUGUCAAAGCAAACUUAAUCAACACUACAUUUUCUACGCAUUCCCCCAGGCUUUUCACCUGGAAUAAUUAAAAUGAACAACACAGGCAAAUGAACAAUUUUCACAGAUGAAUUUCAAUAAUCACAGCUGUGCAUG
Molecule: long non-coding RNA, 1430 nt
Organism: Osmia lignaria (orchard mason bee)
Lineage: Eukaryota; Metazoa; Arthropoda; Insecta; Hymenoptera; Megachilidae
Source: RefSeq, a predicted model, not a curated record